CCCACGGGAGCCUCCUCUGACCACCGGCCACCCCCAGCUGGCCCAGGAUGCAGACACAUUAUGAGCUGUCCUCAGCUCAGCCCUGCACAUCUGCCGGGCCAGAGUUACAUGGGACCAGAGGGCCUCAGCAAGAGAGGAGGAGAUCCCUCCGAGGACGAGCUGCACCAAGGCCUCAGGUGCUUAGGAUGAGUCUUCCCCAAAGCCUUCCCGAGAAGGACCUUGGCCAUUUACCAGUGCUAUGGGUUGACCUGUGUUGGGGCCCCAAUAAGAUGCUGCAGCCCUCACCCCCAGUACCUGUGAAUGUGGCAACAGGAUCUUUGCAGAUGACCAAGUUCAGGCUCCAUCACCCAGGAGCUGUUAGCUGAUAGCAUGGUGGAAUCUCCUGCCCAGCAGGCAGCUGGUGGACUACAGUUUGCCUACGCCUUAAACCAGAGACACAUAUGGUUCCUUCUCAGCCAAAGUGCACAUCCAGAAACCAAGCAAUAAAGCAGUGUUACAUUAAAAAGAACAAGGUAACCAAAGUUACAAAUGACUCAGGAGAAAAAGAGGACGUGCCCAGCGGCACUGGGAGCUAAGAGGGUGAGUUACAUUGUUUAUUGUUUUCCUUCCAUUCUGCUUCCCUAGUCACUGAAAUGUUUUUAAA
Molecule: long non-coding RNA, 643 nt
Organism: Manis pentadactyla (Chinese pangolin)
Lineage: Eukaryota; Metazoa; Chordata; Mammalia; Pholidota; Manidae
Exons: 4
Source: RefSeq, a predicted model, not a curated record